RNAcentral lists this ribosomal RNA (255 nucleotides) under uncultured bacterium. RNAcentral's name for it is "partial 16S ribosomal RNA". It matches the Rfam family "Bacterial small subunit ribosomal RNA", at positions 524 to 776 of the family's 1533-position model. The record is from RNAcentral.
UACGUAGGGUGCGAGCGUUGUCCGGAAUUAUUGGGCGUAAAGAGCUCGUAGGCGGUGUGUCACGUCGGCCGUGAAAACCUGCAGCUUAACUGUGGGCGUGCGGUCGAUACGGGCAUCACUGGAGUUCGGCAGGGGAGACUGGAAUUCCUGGUGUAGCGGUGAAAUGCGCAGAUAUCAGGAGGAACACCGGUGGCGAAGGCGGGUCUCUGGGCCGAUACUGACGCUGGAGGAGCGAAAGCUGGGGGAGCGAACGGG